Manihot esculenta (cassava) is the source of this 3034-nucleotide long non-coding RNA. RefSeq lists it as uncharacterized. The transcript has 2 exons. NCBI's taxonomy places the organism in Eukaryota, Viridiplantae, Streptophyta, Magnoliopsida, Malpighiales, Euphorbiaceae. The record is from RefSeq and is a predicted model, not a curated record.
AAAAGUGAGCAUUCCGCUAGUGGUAUUGUAUGGCGAGGCUCUUGGCUCCUUCUCCGUCGUCAUCCUCCCAAGUUCUUCAGUUUGCUAAAUCAGUUUACUCAGCUUGGAUGGCUGCAUGUCUAAGAUGUCCCUCUUUACUUUCCACUUUUUCAGAGCAGCUUGUUAAAUGGCAGAGACCUAGGCCUGGUUAUGCGAAGAUCAAUGUGGAUGCAGCAACUCGAGUGGAGAAUACCUGGUCUCAAAAGUGAGGUUACUUUUCUUGCUGCUGCAUCUUUUCGUGUACAGGGGUGUUAUGAACCAGUGCUGGCGGAGAUUUUGGGCAUUCGGGAGGCACUCGGCUGAAUCAAGGAUACUGGACCUCUGUUAUUUUGGAAUCUGACAGUCUGACUGCAAUUUCCGCUCUUCGUCAUGCUCGUGCUACUGGUUCCUAUUUUGAUAUUGUGGUUCUGUGGCUCUUGAUAUGCACAAUGUUUCUUCAGUCAGGUUAGGAGAUCUAAAACUGUGCUGCUCAUUGUGUUUAGGUUAGGCAGCAAGUUCCGUGUCUGAUCAUCGGGAGUGGAUUUCAUAUCCUCCUCCUGCCUUUGUUGAUGUUCUAUUAGCUGACGGGAUAAUUACUAUCAUAUUCUUAUGUUUAAUCAAACUAAUUAAAUUACCUCUCUAUUUUAUAAAUUAGAUUAAAAUAUUUUUCUAAUUUAAUUCUGUUAAUCUUAAAAGAGAUUCGUCCAAUUUUAACCCUUUUAGCCAUUAGCCCAUAUAAAAAUUUAUUAAUUUCAUAACUAUCCUCCAAUGCAAUCUUCAUCCACUCUCCUCAAUAUUUUUUUUCAGUGGCGAUGCUCUCUCCUUUCUCUAUUUAACCUCUUACCUUUCUCUCUCUUCGAGACAAUUUCAAUUCACUUUCUUGAUUUUCAUUUUUAGCUGUCAGCUUCUUUUCUAUCUAUUGUCGGGUCACCAUUCGAUUCUCCACUCUCAUUUUUUUCCCUCUGCACUUAGUUUCUCCUAUGUCGAAUGAGUAUUGCUUUCCAUUUUUUCAGUGGAAUCUCAUCGAAUUGAAAAGAGAAAUUGACAAUCUCCUCUCUCUAGCGGUUACUGGGUUCUAACUUGAUUGGGGCUCUCUAUUACCUCACACAUUUCCUCAAUCCGUAGCAAAGUUAACAGGGUUGUGAAGAAGAUAAGGAAAUUUGACUUGAUUGGAGCUCUCUCAAUUUGCAUGGUUUGGUUAUUGGGUGAUUAUUUCCAGGUAGAAUGUGCUUGGUUUUUGGUUGAGCUCUUUUUUUUUUUUUGUGUUUUUUGGAUUGUAUAAAGGAAUUCUUUCUUGGUCUUUGAUAAAGAUGGACACGUAUCUUUGCUUGCUGGUUUUAGAUGCGUAGGUGUCGAACUGUUUGGAGACAUUUCAUGAAGUGGGUUCUAUUUUUCAUUGCUCUUUUUUUUUGUGUCCUGUUAAUAUUUUAGUUUCAAAUGCCUCUUUCCUCAUGGCUAUUGGUUGAGAAAAGAAAGAUCACAAGCAAUAGAGUUUGGGCAGUAGUCCUUGUUAAUGGGCAAUCGUGAUAAUGCUGCAAAGCUUGAUUUCCUUGAGGUGAAAUUCUAAUUUUUUUUUUUUUUUAUUCUAAUCACUUAGUUUUUGUCCACAUGCAUGACUUAUAGUCUUAAGAAAUCAUGGAUCUUGUCUAUAUGAAAUUAUGAAAUCAUGUUGAACAAAAUGAAGAACCUGACACGCCAAUCAAGAGAAAAGAGAAAAGAAGAGAAAAAAGAGGAGGAUGGAAAGUAAAGGUUAUAUUAUUACAGGCUACCCAACAAUUUUGAGAAGAAAUUAUGCAGCAAACUCAUACUUUUUUGCUGUAUAAUUUUUUUUGACCAAUUUUUUGUUAGUUAGUAUAUUUUCUGAUUUCCUACGAAGGUGAUAAUAUUGAUCGAGAAUUCAGUUGCAACAACUUUUGUUUUUGAUUUUUUUUGUUUACGGUUACAGUAUAGUUAGAGGGACAAUAUGUGGAGCAAUUAAGCAUAAAUUGAUACCGACCCCUCAAAAUUUGGUAGUUUCAACUCCGUUAACCACUUAUGAACCUUUUAAUUGGAAUCAAGCCUUCGUUGAAUUUGUAAGCUUGUCAUAUUUUUUUUUCCUUUACCUAUUAUUUUUUCCCGGGAUCUUUCUUUAGGCAGUUCGAAAGUUUAAGAGGCCGAUGAAGUGUAGUCUGUUUCGAGUAUUUUGACUAGUUUGGUUCGAUUUUGGCCCUUAUUGUUAGAUAGCUUCCUGAAAAAAAUUGGAAAUUUGAGGUUUAUACUUCUCAUAUUCAACUCUGUAUACACAUGCUUUGAUGCAGUGUAUAUAUUAUAUAUAUACACAUAUACAUAAUAUCUUGGGGAGCUGAAAGGGGAUGGAAUUUUGUUGGUUAAUAGGUACCAUGAAUAAUAUUGCGGAACAUGGAGUGAAAUGCAAUCCCUAUUUUUCUGAAAUAAUUCUUUCCCAUGCGUGUAUUGCAAAUCCAUUAUGAAUGUUUUCUUUCAGUUCAUUAAUCAUAUUGUAUUUUGCUUAUUUUCUCUUAAAUAGGUACCUUAUGUUUAUAGAAAUAUCAUAUCAUUUUCCUGCAAGAACUAAAUGUUGACGGAGCUGUAAAAGCACUUUUGCAGGCAGACCUAAAUCAGGCAAUUCAAAUGGCUUCAUACUGGGCAUCAUCAUCUGAACCUGCACAAGUUCAUGGUAAGAGUUAAGACUGCAUAUUUAAUACUCGGAUAGACAUGAGAUUGUCAACAACAAAAGUCCAGGUGAUGUUCCCAGAGACGUUUUGCUUGUAACCGUCGAGGGUGUUGAAACUGGUGAUGUGAGCAUUGAUGUCAUUCAAUUGUUUCCAGGAUCAGAGAUAGCACGGGGAGUCAGCUUAGUGGCUGGUGUAGCUGAUGUAAUAUAAUAGUUGUGGACAUGUAAUGUUUAAUAGAUUAGUAUUGUGUUUGGCCCUAGUUUUCUUUACCUUGUAAUCCCUAUUAACAUGAUCUUUAUGUAAAAGUUUUAAAUAUGUUUUAUGUUUGAACCAAGCUUGAGGCA